GACAUCCAACGGCUGUUUUACCAGAGAAGCUGGGGCCGUGGGUCCCACGGCCCCAGCUUGUCUGGCAAAACAGCCGUUGGACGUC
RNAcentral lists this microRNA precursor (85 nucleotides) under Mytilus galloprovincialis (Mediterranean mussel). It matches the Rfam family "MIR1846 microRNA precursor family", at positions 1 to 86 of the family's 110-position model. The record is from RNAcentral. Lineage: Eukaryota; Metazoa; Mollusca; Bivalvia; Mytilida; Mytilidae.